RNAcentral lists this ribosomal RNA (416 nucleotides) under bacterium enrichment culture clone ALO1_GLFRUDD03HB8AB. RNAcentral describes it as "bacterial SSU rRNA". It matches the Rfam family "Bacterial small subunit ribosomal RNA", at positions 9 to 426 of the family's 1533-position model. The record is from RNAcentral.
GAGUUUGAUCGUGGCUCAGAUUGAACGCUGGCGGCAUGCCUUACACAUGCAAGUCGAACGGCAGCACGGGAGCUUGCUCCUGGUGGCGAGUGGCGAACGGGUGAGUAAUGCAUCGGAACGUAUCCUGGAGUGGGGGAUAACGUAGCGAAAGUUACGCUAAUACCGCAUAUUCUGUGAGCAGGAAAGGGGGGGACCUUCGGGCCUCGCGCUCUUGGAGCGGCCGAUGUCGGAUUAGCUAGUUGGUGAGGUAAAGGCUCACCAAGGCGACGAUCCGUAGCAGGUCUGAGAGGAUGAUCUGCCACACUGGAACUGAGACACGGUCCAGACUCCUACGGGAGGCAGCAGUGGGGAAUUUUGGACAAUGGGGGCAACCCUGAUCCAGCCAUGCCGCGUGAGUGAAGAAGGCCUUCGGUUGU